CUACGGGCGGCUGCAGUGGGGAAUUUUGCGCAAUGGGCGAAAGCCUGACGCAGCAAUACCGCGUGAGUGAAGAAGGCCUUUGGGUCGUAAAGCUCUUUGUCUAAGGGAAGAUAAUGACGGUACCUUAGGAAUAAGCACCGGCUAACUCCGUGCCAGCAGCCGCGGUAAUACGGAGGGUGCAAGCGUUGUUCGGAUUUACUGGGCGUAAAGGGCGCGUAGGCGGUCUUGUAAGUUAAGGGUGAAAUCCCAGGGCUUAACCCUGGAACUGCUCUUAAAACUGCAUGACUAGAGACAGAUAGAGGUGAGUGGAAUUCCUGGUGUAGAGGUGAAAUUCGUAGAUAUCAGGAGGAACACCGGAGGCGAAGGCGGCUCACUGGAUCUGUUCUGACGCUAAGGCGCGAAAGCGUGGGGAGCAAACGGGAUUAGAUACCCUAGUAGUC
Molecule: ribosomal RNA, 440 nt
Filed under: uncultured bacterium
Lineage: Bacteria
Description: partial 16S ribosomal RNA
Rfam family: Bacterial small subunit ribosomal RNA
Source: RNAcentral